UCAUCCAACCCGCUAAACCCAAUUAAAAGGAAGUUGUUUGCCGGCGGUACCGGGAUACGCCCUGACCCAUUUCUAAAUUUUGAAACGACUCCUUAUGGCCUUAGGAACAAUGUCUUUUCUAUGAUUCUCAUUUUGACCACACAAUUUUGUUUUUUCUCAAUUUCACCCUGGCACUUAAAUACGUGACACGCAUCACUAUUAAACCGAUUAUCAUUCCCCUUUGCCUUCGUCUUUCCCUUAAUUUCUGAUUUCUUCUUCGUCUUUUCUUUGCUUCCAAGAACUUUGUGGUUUGUCGAUGCAGUGAUUUUUGAGGUUUCGCAACGACGCGGACGCACCCAACCAUCGGUUUCAAGCAAGUAUCUAUUUUAAUUUGGGAGUUGGGUUACAUAGUGCAUCUGUGUGGUUUUUGUUGUCAAUCUGCUUACUCUGGCUUUACUAACAUCCCAUGGUUUUGGUUACAAAUUGUAAAAAAAAAAAAAACAAAAAAAGUCCAUCAAUUGUUAAAGGUAGGAGUUGAGACUCCAUAAUUAAUGAACAAAGUUUGUUUCCUUCCACUUCCAAUAUGCACACAUUCAAUUAUAUUGUUAUCUUCUUUUAUUCAAAAUUACAUUUACAAAUGUGUUGUAUGAUUUCUUAGGUUUGCAUAUUGUUUAUAGGAGGGGACUCUAGGUCAUUUUGUAUUUAUAUGUUUACAGAAAGUUAUUUAGCUAAAAUAAUCUGAUGCAUGAGUGUGCUUUUUUUUUUUAACCAAUUAGCUUGCUUAUUGACAUAUUUUACUUGAGGGGUAUUUUUGUCAAUUACCAUUCUUUUACCGAAUUUGUUUGACUUUUGACCAACAGGGAAAGAAUGAAAGUUUUCUGUCUACUCAUGGAACUGAAACUCAAAGUUUAGCUACAUAAUAGGAACAUAUGUAAUUAUAAUGGAUCGUGUGUGUAUGCACGUCAAAAAUUAAAAAAAAAAAAAAAAGAUCCGUGGUUCACCACGGUUUCACUUACUAGUUCCAAUUAAAGCUUCAAACUUUUUUAGUUUUUCUUUUUCUUUUACAACAAUGUUACUUUUUGAAAUAUUAUUUUAUCAAGGCUUUUUUAUAUUGUUUUCACCUUUUUUUACUUUUCCAUGCAUUUUAUUUUCACAGUUUAACAAUUAUAGCAUUGUACUUCCAGUUUUCUUAUCAAAAGCGUAUUUCUCUUUACAGUUUUUAUUUUCUUUCCUUCUAUAACAUUGUUACUCUCAAAUAUUUUUCAUAUCAAGACAUUUUAAUAAAUAAUCUUUAUAUGUUUUACUUUUUUUUCAUUCUACUUUGAAAAAUUUACCAGUUAUAGCAUUAUACGACCAGUUUUCUUUUAUAAAAGCACAUUCGCUUUGAAAAAACAUACCAAUUAAAGUUUUACACAUUUGUCUGUUUGUUUUUUUCUUUUACAACAUUUUAAUUGUUAAAUAUUCUGUUAUCGAGACAUUUUAUUAAAAUAUCUUUUCAUUUUUUAUUUAUCUAGACAUUCUACUUUGAUAAAUCUACCAAAUAUAGCAUUAUACUUUAAUUAUUCAUAUUAAAAUCACAUUUCCUUAGAAAAAUCACCUCAACAAAGUUUUGCACAUUUUAUUAAAAAUCCUUAAAAUUUUUACAUCAGACAUUUUAUAUACUUAGAAAAUUUUACUAAUUAUAGCCUUGCACUUUUAGUUUUCUUAAUAAAUGCACAUUUUCUCUUUGAAAAUCAUCCCUACCAUAGCUUUCAAUUUUUUGGUUUUUAUUUCCUCUUUUAUAACAUUUUUAAUCUAAAAUAAUCUUUUAUCAAGACAUUUAAAAAAACAAUUGUUUUACAUAUCUAAGCCUUCUACUUUUAGCUAUUUACCAAUUAUAGCAUCGUAACUUAUUUUUGUUAUUAAAAGCACAUUUUCCUCUUCUCUAAUUAUAGCAUUGUACUUUAAGUUAUAUUAUGAAAAGCACAUUUCCAUUUGAAAAAUCAUCCUAAUUAAAACAUUGCACUUUUUAAGAUUUUUUUUUUUACUUUUACCACAUUUUAACUUUCAAAUGUUGUUAUAUUAAGACAUUUUAUUAAAAAAUCUUUACAUUUAUAUACUUAUCUAGGCAUUUUACUUUGAAAAUCUUACCAAUUAUAGCAUUAUACUUUAUGUUUUCUUAUUAAAUGCACAUUUUACUUUGAAAAAUCAUACAAGUUAAAGCUUUGCACUAUCUAGGCAUUUUUUUUGCUAUCAAUGCAUUUUAUUGUAUCAAGUCGCUUUAUUUUGAAAAAUCUAUCCAAUUUUUUUACUUUGAAAAAAUAAUAAUUCUUUUCUCAUCAAGGCAUGUUAUUUUGAACAAACCAUCAAAUUUUUAUGUAUCUAGAGAUUUUAUUUUGAAGAAUCUAGUUUUUUUUUCUUUCAAAGCAUUUACUUUGAAAAAUCUAUCAUUUUAUUUUAUAUCAAACCAUUUUACUUUGGAAAACCUACACAACUAUAGCAUUGUACUUUCAGUUUUCUUUAUAUAAGCACAUUUUCAAAAGUCAACCCAUUUAUAGCAUUGCAUUUUGCAGUUUUCUUUUUGUUCAACAUUAUUAUUUUCAUAUUUUAUUUUAAUAAGUCUAAUUGGUCUAUCGAAUUUUUUCUUAUCAAGACAUUUUUACUUUAUAAAAGUUUAACCUAUUUUUUUGCUCAUCAAAGCACUUUUUUUUUGAAUUAUCCAUCAAAAAAAUCAAGUUUCUUUUUUAUGCUAUGAUAUUAAAAUUUUCAAAUCUCCUAUUUUCAAAUCAAUUUACUUUGAAAGCUAUAUUAUUUUUUUUAAUAAAGGCAUUUUACUCUGAAAAAUCUACCAAGCACAUGUCUCUUUGAAAAAUCAACCCAUUUGCUUUAUUUUAGUUACAACAUUACAAACAUUAUUUUUUUUUUAUCUUAUCAGGUCAUUUUACUUUAAUCUAUCAUAUUUUUUUAUUAUCAAGGCAUUCAUCUUUGAAAAAUCUGACAAAUAUAGUAUUGUAUUUACAAUUUUCUUAUUAUAAGCACAUUUCCUCUUGAAAACUCAACCCAUGUAUAGCACUGCUUUUAUCUUUAUGUUACAACAUUAAAACAUUCAAAUUUUAUCUUAUCAAGUCAUUGUACUUUGAAAAAUCAAUCAUAUUUUUUUUUUUUCAAAUCUAGUCUUUUUACUUUGAAAAAUCUCUCAUUUAGAGCACUGUAUUUUCAUUUUUCUUAUUUUAAGCACAUUUUCCUUGAAAAAUCAACCCCAUUUUAGCAUUGCACUUUCAGUAUGUUUCUUUCUAUUAUAGUUUUCAAAAUUUUCUUAUCAAGGCAUUUAACAUUGAAAAAACAAUCAAAAUCUUUUCUUAUCAAGGCAUUUUACUUUAAAAAAUUCCAUCAAUUUUUUUCUUAUGGAGCCCUUUACCUUGAAAAAUCUAUGAAGUAUUACAUUACAUUGCAUUUUCAGUUGUAUUAUUAUAAGCAUAUUUACCUUUGAAAAAUCAACCCGUUUAUAGCAUUGCACUUUUCAAUUUUCUUUCUAUUAUUGCAUUGUAACUUUCAUGAUUUUUUCUUCAUGUUGCCUUGAAAAAUCUAUCAAUUUUUUUCUAAUAAAGGCAUGUUACUUGAAAAGUCUACCAUAUAUAGGACUACACUAUUCGGUUUUCUUUUUGUUACAACAUGGUAAAUGUCAAAAAAAGUUUACCUACCAAUUAUAACAUUGUUCUUUUAAUUUUCGUAUUAUAAGUUACGAUUUAAAAUUGUAAAAACCACUUGUAAAAUUCCAUUUUUCAGUUUUUUUUCUGCUUCAAAAUUGCAACUUCCAAAAAUUUCUUACCAAGGUCUUUUUUUUUUUUGAAAAAAGUAUCAAAUAUUUUCUUAUGAAAGAAACUUACUUUGAAAAUCAACCCAAUUUUUAGCAUUGUACUUUCAUUUUUGUUAUUAUCAGCACAUCUAUGUUUAUGACAAGUUUUGAAAUGUAUUCUAUUCAUUUCAUUUUAUUAUGUUAAUAUUAAUUAUAUUUAUUUCUUUUUACUAUUUUUUAUAUGAUUUCAUUGGUUUGUUAUUUUUGUAAGAAAUGUAAAAAGCUGUCGGUCCAAAACCAACACCGCAGGUUUAUCACUUUAUUUAAUUUAUUGGUUAAAUUACUGACUAUCAGUUUCUUUUAUUUUGUAAAUUGGUUACUUGUUUUGAUUGAUGUAUUUACCUGCUAUAUAUAAUUAUAUGAUGUGAUUUUAACUGUUGUUAUUUUAUGUUUUAUGCAUAAGUUUUGGCUCUUCUUGCAUUUUGAAUGUUACUGAAGUCAAUAUGUUUUAUAAGUUAAUUAUCUGAUUAUUAAGUUUUAUGUUCAUAAACUCUCUUGUGUCAAGGACAUUAAGUUAUGGUUUUCUUUGUUUUGAAGUAAGCUGUUUGCUUAUUUGAUCUCAGUUUGAGAAUUAUUUUGGUUACAAGUUUUGUUGGUCAUGUAUUAUUACCUACACUUACUUUUUUAUUAAGUAGUUGUGUUAUUUAUUGUUUACUUUUGUUUGUUUAAAUUUCUAGUAGGCACAUGAUUAUCUGUAGUAUGAAUUUAUUUUUAUGUUUUUUCUUCAUUUUAUACUGCUUUUAUAUUAAAAGCCGAUACAACUUUUUGUUGGUCAGACUUGACUUUUCACAACAAAAAAUUAUCCUGUUUACAUGUUUUAAUGUCUAAUCGUGUAAUUGUGGCUUUAUGUGUAGGAGGUUCUACUUUGUUUAUUUCUUGUGUGUUUGUUUGUAGGACCUGCUUCGGAAUUCAUGUAUUAGUUCAGUUUGUAGGCCUUUUCUUUUUCUUGUGUGGCUUUGUAUGUUGAUUUUGCUUUGUUUGUAGAGUUAUUGUGUGGCUUUGUUUAUAGGAUUCUAAUUUGGAAUUCAUGUGUAGGGUUUGGUUUAUAGGGUUCUGUUUUUGAAUUUGUGUUCCUUUUCUCGUGUAGCUUUGUUUGCAGAGUUCUUACAUGCCUUUGUUUUUACAGAUCUUCUAUAUUGUAUUUUAUCGUGUCUAUUUUGUUUGUAGGGUUCUACUAUGUUUGAUUUUGCUUUGCUUUGUUUAUAAGGUUCUAUUUUAUUUGUAGAGAGUUCUGGUGUGGCUUCGUUUGUAGGGUUCUACUUUGUUUGUAGGAUUCUGUUUUGAAAUUCAUGUCUUGGUUCUACUUUUGAAUCCUUUUCCCUUUUCUUGUGUGGCUUUAUUUGUAGGGUUGUGUUUUGUUUGUAGAGUUAUUAUGUGAGUUUUUUUAUAGGAUUUUUCUUUGGAGUUCUUGUCUCGGGUUAUGUUUGUAGGAAUCAACUUUGAUAUUCUUAUCCAUUUCAAUAUUCUUAUGUGGCUUUAUUUCUAGGGUUCUGAUUCUUUAUGUAGAGUUCUUAUUGGUUCUAUUUAGAUGGUUCACCUUUGUUUUUAGACUUCUUGUGUGGCUCUAUUUGUAGGAUUCUUGUCUUAGGUUCUCUUUGUUUCUUUGUAGGGUUAUGUUUCAAAAUUCUUCUCCAUUUUCUCUGUAGAGUUGUUCUUAUGAAUUCUUUGUAUCGGGUUCUAUUUGUGAAGCUUUGGAAUUCCUGUUAAUUUGUGUUUUCUUGUGUGAAAUUUAUAGGGUUAUUUUUUGUUUGUAGAGUACUUGUGUGGCUUUGUUUUAGGGUUCUACUUUCUUGUCUUUAAUUAUGUUUGUAGGGUUCUACUUUGGAAUUCUUAUUCAUUGCAUUUUCUUGUGUGGCUUAGCAGCUUUGUUUGUAGACUUCUUGUAUGACUUUCUUUGAUCUUUGAUUGUAGGGUUCUGCUUGUGAAUUCUUGUCUUGGGUUCUCUAUGUUGGGUUUUGCUUUAGAUUUCUUUAUCCAUUUUGUAUUUUCUUUGUAGGGUUUUUUGCUUUGUUUGUAUAAAUCUUAUGUGGCUUUGUUUCAAGAUUUCUUGUGUAACUUUGUUUGUAGAGUUCUUGUGUCUCUUUGAUUGUAAUCUUUGGAAUUCUUGGGUUAUGUUUGUAGGGUUUAUUAACAUUUAGUCUUCAACAAGGCUAUAACUUCAUGGUUGAAUUAGAUUUGAUCUAAUAACUUUA
Long non-coding RNA from Lactuca sativa (garden lettuce), 6006 nucleotides. RefSeq lists it as uncharacterized. The record is from RefSeq and is a predicted model, not a curated record. Lineage: Eukaryota; Viridiplantae; Streptophyta; Magnoliopsida; Asterales; Asteraceae.